UGGGGAAUAUUGCACAAUGGGCGAAAGCCAGAUGCAGCAACGCCGCGUGAGUGAUGACGGUCUUCGGAUUGUAAAGCUCUGUCUUCGGGGACGAUAAUGACGGUACCCAAGGAGGAAGCCACGGCUAACUACGUGCCAGCAGCCGCGGUAAUACGUAGGUGGCAAGCGUUGUCCGGAUUUACUGGGCGUAAAGGGUGCGUAGGCGGACCUUUAAGUGAGAUGUGAAAUCCCCGAGCUUAACUUGGUGGCUGCAUUUCAAACUGGAGGUCUAGAGUGCAGGAGAGGAGAGUGGAAUUCCUAGUGUAGCGGUGAAAUGCGUAGAGAUUAGGAAGAACACCAGUGGCGAAGGCGACUCUCUGGACUGUAACUGACGCUGAGGCACGAAAGCGUGGGAAGCAAACAG
RNAcentral lists this ribosomal RNA (403 nucleotides) under uncultured bacterium. RNAcentral describes it as "bacterial SSU rRNA". It matches the Rfam family "Bacterial small subunit ribosomal RNA", at positions 355 to 775 of the family's 1533-position model. The record is from RNAcentral.